This 490-nucleotide ribosomal RNA is filed under the name uncultured bacterium. Its description in RNAcentral is "partial 16S ribosomal RNA". It matches the Rfam family "Bacterial small subunit ribosomal RNA", at positions 29 to 507 of the family's 1533-position model. The record is from RNAcentral.
AAUGAACGCUGGCGGCAUGCCUUACACAUGCAAGUCGAACGGCAGCAUGACCUAGCUUGCUAGGUUGAUGGCGAGUGGCGAGCGGGUGAGUAAUGCAUCGGAACGUGCCUUUUAGUGGGGGAUAACGUAGCGAAAGUUACGCUAAUACCGCAUAUUCUCUGAGGAGGAAAGCAGGGGACCUUCGGGCCUUGCGCUAGAAGAGCGGCCGAUGUCGGAUUAGCUAGUUGGUGAGGUAAAGGCUCACCAAGGCAACGAUCCGUAGCGGGUCUGAGAGGAUGAUACGCCACACUGGGACUGAGACAAGGCCCAGACUCCUACGGGAGGCAGCAGUGGGGAAUUUUGGACAAUGGGCGCAAGCCUGAUCCAGCCAUGCCGCGUGAGUGAAGAAGGCCUUCGGGUUGUAAAGCUCUUUCGGCUGGGAAGAAAUCGCACCCUCUAAUACAGGGUGUGGAUGACGGUACCAGCAUAAGAAGCACCGGCUAACUACGUG